This is a small nucleolar RNA of Dioscorea cayenensis subsp. rotundata (Guinea yam), 106 nucleotides long. Lineage: Eukaryota; Viridiplantae; Streptophyta; Magnoliopsida; Dioscoreales; Dioscoreaceae. The record is from RefSeq and is a predicted model, not a curated record.
AGUCCAUGAUGGGGGCACAACCUCAAUAAUUCUUAAAGUCUAUCCCAGGCAUCAUAUAAAGACUCUCUUUCCUUUUGAGCAAAAUUAGUGAUAUGGUUCCUAAAUU